This 258-nucleotide ribosomal RNA is filed under the name uncultured bacterium. RNAcentral describes it as "partial 16S ribosomal RNA". It matches the Rfam family "Bacterial small subunit ribosomal RNA", at positions 101 to 353 of the family's 1533-position model. The record is from RNAcentral.
AACGGGUGAGUAACGCGUGAGGAACCUGCCUCAAAGAAGGGGGACGAACAGUUGGAAACGACUGCUAAUACCGCAUAAGCCCACGGCUCGGCAUCGAGCAGAGGGAUAAGGAGUGAUCCGCUUUGAGAUGGCCUCGCGUCCGAUUAGCUGGUUGGUGAGGUAACGGCCCACCAAGGCGACGAUCGGUAGCCGGACUGAGAGGUUGAACGGCCACAUUGGGACUGAGACACGGCCCAGACUCCUACGGGAGGCAGCAUG